RNAcentral lists this ribosomal RNA (460 nucleotides) under uncultured bacterium. Its description in RNAcentral is "partial 16S ribosomal RNA". It matches the Rfam family "Bacterial small subunit ribosomal RNA", at positions 338 to 795 of the family's 1533-position model. The record is from RNAcentral.
CCUACGGGAGGCUGCAGUGAGGAAUAUUGGUCAAUGGGCGAGAGCCUGAACCAGCCAAGUCGCGUGAAGGAUGACGGCCCUACGGGUUGUAAACUUCUUUUGUCAGGGAGCAAUUGCGUCCACGCGUGGGCUUAGCGAUAGUACCUGAAGAAAAAGCAUCGGCUAACCCCGUGCCAGCAGCCGCGGUAUUACGGAGGAUGCGAGCGUUAUCCGGAUUUAUUGGGUUUAAAGGGUGCGUAGGCGGAAGGUUAAGUCAGCGGUAAAAUGUCGGUGCUCAACACCGGCCUGCCGUUGAAACUGGUCGUCUUGAGUGAGCGAGAAGUAUGCGGAAUGCGUGGUGUAGCGGUGAAAUGCAUAGAUAUCACGCAGAACUGCGAUUGCGAAGGCAGCAUACCGGCGCUCAACUGACGCUGAGGCACGAAAGCGUGGGGAUCGAACAGGAUUAGAUACCCGAGUAGUC